RNAcentral lists this ribosomal RNA (241 nucleotides) under Leptographium radiaticola. RNAcentral's name for it is "Grosmannia radiaticola partial large subunit ribosomal RNA". It matches the Rfam family "Eukaryotic large subunit ribosomal RNA", at positions 101 to 347 of the family's 3401-position model. Lineage: Eukaryota; Fungi; Ascomycota; Sordariomycetes; Ophiostomatales; Ophiostomataceae. The record is from RNAcentral.
GCAACAGCUCAGAUUGGAAUCUGGCCCCCAGGCCGCGAGUUGUAAUCUGGAGAGGAUGCUUCUGGCGCGGCGCCUUCCGAGUUCCCUGGAACGGGACGCCGGAGAGGGUGAGAGCCCCGUACGGUCGGACGCCCAGCCUGUGUGAGCUCCUUCGACGAGUCGAGUAGUUUGGGAAUGCUGCUCAAAAUGGGAGGAAAUUUCUUCUAAAGCUAAAUAUUGGCCAGAGACCGAUAGCGCACAA